This 1296-nucleotide long non-coding RNA is filed under the name Cicer arietinum (chickpea). RNAcentral describes it as "long non-coding RNA (CARI_LNC000616)". The record is from RNAcentral. Lineage: Eukaryota; Viridiplantae; Streptophyta; Magnoliopsida; Fabales; Fabaceae.
AUAUAUAUAUAUAUAUAUUACUUAUAUAUAUAAAUCUUAAUUAAACCAAUCCAAUAUCUAAAAAUAUCUAGAUAUUUAUCAAAAUUACUAUUUCACCCAUAACCUCUCAAACCAUUUGAUAAAAAUAUUCGCAACUCAAUUGGCAGAUGAAUUUUUCUGAAUAACUCUGUAGCUCAUAAAAUUUUCUUUUCGACAAGAGAUUAAUCGUAAAUCAAUAAAAUUAUUCCUCGACGAAUAAAUUUAAUCGGAGCUCCAAAAAGAUAUUUUUGGCAUUAAACUCACAAAAUAUUAAUAACUUGGCUAAAAAGCCUCAAAGUUCAAUACCAAAAUACACUAAAAUACAUAAAUUAGAAUUUAAAACUAUGGGUCUUACAAGAACCAGAAUAAAUAGCCAACAAAUCAAAUAAAAAUAGCAACAAUUUUAAAGAUAAGACCACACUAAUUUAGAAAAACAUAAACAUAAAAACAACAAUUAAAUCAAGAAAAUAUCAAAAAAAAUUAAAAAACAGAAAACAACAAUAUAAUAAAUAUUAAAAAAAAAAAAAACAGCAACAAUAAAAUUUACAAGGCAAUUAAAUUAAUACUACAACUAUUUUUCUAUUUCCAAUUCAACCAUUUUUACUAUAGAUUCAUAAACACGUAUUAACUAACAAGAUCAAAAUACAUUAAUCACUCAUCCACAAAAUUAACGUAUAACAUGAAUUGCAAGAGGGAAGCCCUUAUCUUAGGUAUUUUUCUUCCAAAUAACACAUCAUAAACCCCACAAUUCGAAGAACAAGAGAAAGGUCCAAGCUCUUGAAAUGAAUAAUUUGUAUUAAAUUUCCUCCUUCGAUGAAUAAUAUCAAAAGUGAGUGUUGAACUAAAAUUACCUUGAGAUGAUACUAAGAGGAAGACAAGAAAUUAAAAUUCAACUUGAUGGUGGUGGUCGUGCAUGUGGGCGUGAGGUUGCUAAAGGAAGAAUCAUGUUUUUCUUUUCUUUUCUUUCCUUUGUUUUGUAGAGAAAAACAAGUGUAGGUGUGGAAAAAUGAAUAAGAAGUCGCUUAUCUAUAGACCACCCUUUUAAUUUUUUCCGUUAACUACACUUAUCUUUUGUAGCAAAACAAAAUCAUCAUUUUCGUCAUGCUAAAGAGAGGGACGAAAUUUCUAUACCACAGAAAUAGGAUAUUUUUGUUCUCUCUAUUACACAAAAGAAAAACCACAAAACCCAUCAUUUAAUUUGUAACCUCCCUUUAAAAGAUGAAUUAAAAAUGGUAAGAAGGAGAGAGGGGAGUUAGUCAAUAAUGAGGGAAUGUUCAU